GGCGAGGCGGAAAGGCAGCUACGCCGAUGUCAUCCUCAUAAAGCGUCGGGACUCAUCCGAGGACUCCCACAGCAGGUACUGCGUCGCGCGCCAUGCUGAU
Molecule: long non-coding RNA, 100 nt
Organism: Ornithodoros turicata
Lineage: Eukaryota; Metazoa; Arthropoda; Arachnida; Ixodida; Argasidae
Exons: 3
Source: RefSeq, a predicted model, not a curated record